Molecule: long non-coding RNA, 1167 nt
Organism: Homo sapiens (human)
Lineage: Eukaryota; Metazoa; Chordata; Mammalia; Primates; Hominidae
Gene: LRRC77P
Product: leucine rich repeat containing 77, pseudogene
Source: Ensembl
GUUGUUUAUGUAAGAAUUUCAAGGCCACAACUCCAUAUUUGAAGUAAAGUGCUCAUAAAAUUAAUUGCAAGACUUCUGAAGAGAGAUUUGCUAGGAAAAAUAAAAAGAUAUAUAAAUUUCAGUGAUGCUGAAGGUUUUGAGAAGCCAUCUGCAGCUCACAACUAGAUGAGUGACACAAUCAGAUGUGCGUAUGCAAAAAAAAGCCUGGAGACAUUGAACUAAGAUCAAAUUUAAUGUAUUAAAUAUGGUAGAAAGAAGAGAGAAUGAAAAAUAAUGUUAACAAUCUAGGUGAGGAAUUGCUGAGGAGACAAAUUAAGUAAAUCCUGUGGAAGGAAAGAAGAAAGGAGGAAAGAGGAUUGGAUGGAAGAAUCUCCACUUCUCAUAGGUGUAGUCCUUCCUUAGCCUGCUUUUUAAUGAGUGCUGCUAAAGCCCUUAGCCUGCCUGUUUACCCUUGGAGUGGAGCAAUGAACUGAAGAUAUUUGAGUGAGUUCAAGAGAGACUCAGAAGAGAAGAAUUGGAGGCAGCAAACAUAGACAGCACUUUUAAUGCUUUUCUCAUAUGCUGUAAGACAUGAAAGCAAUCUAUUGGGAUGAAAGCUGAAAGGAGAAGCGGGACAAGAGAAGCUCCUCAGGUCAAAACACAAGUAGUCAAGAGAUUUGUCCAUCUAAUUCAUCAUACUACUCUGAUCCAAGUGAGACCCACACUGGGUCAGCUCCAUCAAGGAGAAGAACAUUCCACCCACGUUUGGAUUCUGGAAUAUCAUCCUUGCUUCCAUCAGAUUCUUGUAAGUACCUCACUUGGCACAAGGUAGACAUGACGUUCAAGGAAGUCAACUGCGUUGCCCAAGAGUAAGAGAAGGAAUCUCUGAAGAAGAGCAACUUUUCAGACAGGUAGAGUGUGCCUUGCUCCCAAGGAAAAGAGUUCUUGAAAAAAACAAAUGGGAAACAUGGCUACAAGAAAACUGGGAAGACUGCAAGAAAAUCUCAGAAUCUGCUUGAGAAUCCGGUCCUUCUUCCUCCAUACACCCAUGGAACACUCCCAAACUCUGUAUGCUGCUCACUAAUUCUGAUUAAGGUCUUCACCCUCCCUACCUUGGAAAUUGCUACAACAUAAUUGUGUUUGUAUGUAUAAUUAAUAUAUACAAUACAUUUUAAAUGAAUAACUAAA